Molecule: ribosomal RNA, 565 nt
Filed under: bacterium AWS2E
Lineage: Bacteria
Description: bacterial SSU rRNA
Rfam family: Bacterial small subunit ribosomal RNA
Source: RNAcentral
CAGCAGUGAGGAAUAUUGGUCAAAGGAGGCAACUCUCAACCAGCCAUGCCGCGUGCAGGAUGACGGUCCUGUGGAUUGUAAACUGCUUUUGUACAGGAAGAAACAUUUCUACGUGUAACAACUUGACUGUACCGUAAGAAUAAGGAUCGGCUAACUCCGCGCCAUGCAGCCGCGGUAAUACAGAGGCUCCGAGCGUUAUCCGGAAUUAUUGGGUUUAAAGGGUUCGUAGGUGGUUAGAUAAGUCAGUGGUGAAAUUUCCUAGCUCAAGUAGGGCACUUCCAUUGAUACUGUUUAACUUUAAUAGUAUGGAAGUAAGUAGAAUAUGUUCAGUGUAGCGGUGAAAUGCUUACAUAUUACAUGGAAUACCAAUUGAGAAGGCAGCUUAGUCCGUACUUAUCGACUCUGAUGAACGAAAGCGUGCGGAGCGAACAGGAUUAGAUACCGUGGUAGGCCCCGCCGUACACAAUGGAUAGGAAGUGGUCGCUCUUCGGAGUGAGUGCCUAAGCGAAAGUGAUAAGUAUCCCACCUGGGGAGUACGUUCGCAAGAAUGAAACUCAAACGAAUU